This 253-nucleotide ribosomal RNA is filed under the name uncultured bacterium. Its description in RNAcentral is "partial 16S ribosomal RNA". It matches the Rfam family "Bacterial small subunit ribosomal RNA", at positions 524 to 776 of the family's 1533-position model. The record is from RNAcentral.
UACGAAGGGGGCUAGCGUUGCUCGGAAUCACUGGGCGUAAAGGGUGCGUAGGCGGGUCUUUAAGUCAGGGGGGAAAUCCUGGAGCUCAACUCCAGAACUGCCUUUGAUACUGAGGAUCCUGAGUUCGGGAGAGGUGAGUGGAACUGCGAGUGUAGAGGUGAAAUUCGUAGAUAUUCGCAAGAACACCAGUGGCGAAGGCGGCUCACUGGCCCGAUACUGACGCUGAGGCACGAAAGCGUGGGGAGCAAACAGG